RNAcentral lists this ribosomal RNA (253 nucleotides) under uncultured bacterium. RNAcentral describes it as "partial 16S ribosomal RNA". It matches the Rfam family "Bacterial small subunit ribosomal RNA", at positions 524 to 776 of the family's 1533-position model. The record is from RNAcentral.
GACGUAGGGCGCGAGCGUUGUCCGGAUUUAUUGGGCGUAAAGAGCUCGUAGGCGGCUUGUCGCGUCGACUGUGAAAACCCGCAGCUCAACUGUGGGCUUGCAGCCGAUACGGGCAGGCUAGAGUUCGGUAGGGGAGACUGGAAUUCCUGGUGUAGCGGUGAAAUGCGCAGAUAUCAGGAGGAACACCGGUGGCGAAGGCGGAUCUCUGGGCCUUACCUGACGCUCAGGCGCGAAAGCUAGGGGAGCGAACAGG